RNAcentral lists this ribosomal RNA (507 nucleotides) under uncultured bacterium. RNAcentral's name for it is "bacterial SSU rRNA". It matches the Rfam family "Bacterial small subunit ribosomal RNA", at positions 8 to 518 of the family's 1533-position model. The record is from RNAcentral.
AGAGUUUGAUUAUGGCUCAGAACGAACGCUGGUGGCGUGUUUUAUACAUGCAAGUCGAGCGAGGACGGUAGCAAUACCGAGCCGAGCGGCGAACGGGUGAGUAACGCGUAAGCAAUCUGCCCCACAAUCGGGAACAACCGUGCCAACGCGCGGCUAAUGCCGGAUAUUGUAGUCUACUGCAUAGUAGGCCAACGAAAGAUUUAUUGUUGUGGGAUGAGCUUGCGUCCGAUUAGCUAGUUGGCGGGGUAAUAGCCCACCAAGGCGACGAUCGGUAGCCGGCCUGAGAGGGUGAUCGGCCACAUUGGGACUGAGAUACGGCCCAGACUCCUACGGGAGGCAGCAGUAGGGAAUAUUGCGCAAUGGGGGGAACCCUGACGCAAGCAACGCCACGUGUGGGAAGAAGCAUUUCGGUGUGUAAACCACUGUCGGAAAGGAAUAACGGAAGACUUCGGUCUUUAUGAAUGUACUUUUAGAGGAAGCACCGGCAAACUUCGUGCCAGCCGCCGC